CACGUAGGGUGCGAGCGUUGUCCGGAAUUAUUGGGCGUAAAGAGCUCGUAGGCGGUGUGUCGCGUCGGCCGUGAAAACCUGCAGCUUAACUGUGGGCUUGCGGUCGAUACGGGCAUCACUGGAGUUCGGCAGGGGAGACUGGAAUUCCUGGUGUAGCGGUGAAAUGCGUAGAGAUCGGGAAGAACAUCGGUGGCGAAGGCGGCCUGCUGGGCCGUUGCUGACGCUGAGGCGCGACAGCGUGGGGAGCAAACAGG
This 254-nucleotide ribosomal RNA is filed under the name uncultured bacterium. Its description in RNAcentral is "partial 16S ribosomal RNA". It matches the Rfam family "Bacterial small subunit ribosomal RNA", at positions 524 to 776 of the family's 1533-position model. The record is from RNAcentral.